This 481-nucleotide ribosomal RNA is filed under the name Allolobophora chlorotica. RNAcentral describes it as "partial 16S ribosomal RNA". Lineage: Eukaryota; Metazoa; Annelida; Clitellata; Crassiclitellata; Lumbricidae. The record is from RNAcentral.
AGGGUAUUAUUGGUUGAACAAACCAUCUUUAUGUGACUUUUGCGCCACAUAGAUUCCCUAAGCCAACAUCGAGGUGCCAACCCCUAUUAUUGAUAAGGACUCUCUAAUAGGAUUAGCCUGUUAUCCCUAAGGUAGCUUGUUUUUGUGAUCUUUGUUAAGGGUCAGUAUUUAGAUUUAUUUAUCUUUUUAUAAGGGAUGAUUAAUUUUUCCCUGGUCGCCCCAACCGAAUUUUUAUUAAAGUUUAAGUCUUUAUUAAAAUGAAGCUCUAUAGGGUCUUCUUGUCCUUCGAUUUAAUCUAACACUCUUCAGUUAGAGAUUAAUUUUUAUGGAGCUUAUAGAGACAGUUUUUAUUUCGUUGGUCCGUUCAUUCUAGCCCACAAUUAAUGGGCAAGUGAUUAUGCUACCUUUGCACGGUUAGGAUACCGCGGCCGUUGAAUAAUAUCACUGGGCAGGAAUUACUUCUUAUUGAUUGCAAGAAGCA